UUUGCUUUUAAAUUAACAAGACGGUUCUACUAGCAAUUGUUUAAGUCGUGCCCACUUGCCAAGUGCUGCAGUGAGACAGCAGGUAGUUUCUCUGUCAAAGGCAAUGCUAGAGGCAAGAUGGAUAAAACCAACUUCUACACUUAAGGUUAUCUUUGAAAUAUUUAUGAAUAUGUUCAGGAAAAAAGCCUUGACUACUCCGUGCGACAACAAUGGAUAGAGUUGAUUUUCUUCUAGAACGUCAUCAUCAAUGUUAUUACUAUUGUUGCUAUUAUAUUAUUGUUAUUAUAUAGGAUACUGUAGAAAUUCUUCUACAAUAAAACUUUGAAAACUG
Equus quagga is the source of this 331-nucleotide long non-coding RNA. RefSeq lists it as uncharacterized. The record is from RefSeq and is a predicted model, not a curated record. The transcript has 2 exons. Lineage: Eukaryota; Metazoa; Chordata; Mammalia; Perissodactyla; Equidae.